Molecule: transfer RNA, 73 nt
Filed under: Ursus americanus (American black bear)
Lineage: Eukaryota; Metazoa; Chordata; Mammalia; Carnivora; Ursidae
Also listed under: 1 other name
Rfam family: tRNA
About the family: Transfer RNA (tRNA) molecules are approximately 80 nucleotides in length. Their secondary structure includes four short double-helical elements and three loops (D, anti-codon, and T loops).
Source: Rfam by way of RNAcentral
ACCUGGCUGGCUCAGCUGGCAGAGCAUGCGAUUCUUGGUUUCAGAGUCAUGAGUUCAAGCCUCAUGUUGGGUG